Molecule: long non-coding RNA, 462 nt
Organism: Ictalurus punctatus (channel catfish)
Lineage: Eukaryota; Metazoa; Chordata; Actinopteri; Siluriformes; Ictaluridae
Source: Ensembl
CGGGAGAGAGAAGGGAGAAGCACGUGCGGUUGAAGGAGUGUGAAUUCGCUAGCUGCGGGUUUUUUGUUUCUUUCAAGUAACAUCACUGCGAGUUAAGUGGUCGACCAGAGCACUAUAUGUAACUGUAGUGGUGUAAUAAGCUAACCUCGGAGAGAUGUUAUAUUACCGUGGAAAGAGUAUAAUAGUUAAGAGCUAGUUGUUAAGACUUGGAUACUAGUGCACACAUGGACUUUGCUAAGAAGUUAGUGAACAGCCGACUGGAGGAUCAGAGACUGUGUUUCUCACAGAGAAAGGAGCUGUGGACUUCGCGGAUGACUGCCUGUGUGUGAACCUUCUCUUCUUCUUAUCUUGCAACGACCCUGCGUGACUGUGACCCCAUUGUUGAUCAAGACCUCAUGUUGGGGAUAUGGACCUACUGGAUGCUGCGCUACGGGCUAGUCACAACUAACAGGAAUUUCAUGU